AGCGUCAUUGCAACACUCAGGCUCCGCCUGGUAUUGGGCGCCGCCCCGUCGCGGGCGCGCCUCAAACCCCUCGGCGUCGCCGUCCGUCCUCGAGCGCAGCGAGAAUCCUUCCAGCGUCAUCGAGGCGGGCCGUGGCCGCCGGAAGCCAACACCAUUCAAAGGUUGACCUCGGAUCGGGUGGGGAUACCCGCUGAACUUAA
This 200-nucleotide unclassified non-coding RNA is filed under the name soil metagenome. RNAcentral's name for it is "partial contains internal transcribed spacer 2 and large subunit ribosomal RNA". The record is from RNAcentral.